This 253-nucleotide ribosomal RNA is filed under the name uncultured bacterium. RNAcentral's name for it is "partial 16S ribosomal RNA". It matches the Rfam family "Bacterial small subunit ribosomal RNA", at positions 524 to 776 of the family's 1533-position model. The record is from RNAcentral.
UACAGAGGUCCCAAGCGUUGUUCGGAUUCACUGGGCGUAAAGGGUGCGUAGGAGGCUGGGAAAGUCGGAUGUGAAAUCUCACCGCUUAACGGUGAAACUGCAUUCGAUACUACUCGGCUAGAGGAUCGGAGGGGAGAGCAGAAUUCUUGGUGUAGCGGUGAAAUGCGUAGAUAUCAAGAGGAAUACCAGCAGCGUAGGCAGCUCUCUGGAAGAUUCCUGACUCUGAGGCACGAAGGCCCGGGGAGCAAACGGG